This 845-nucleotide ribosomal RNA is filed under the name Bacillus sp. (in: firmicutes). RNAcentral describes it as "bacterial SSU rRNA". It matches the Rfam family "Bacterial small subunit ribosomal RNA", at positions 54 to 880 of the family's 1533-position model. Lineage: Bacteria; Bacillati; Bacillota; Bacilli; Caryophanales; Bacillaceae. The record is from RNAcentral.
CAUGCAAGUCGAGCGGACAGAUGGGAGCUUGCUCCCUGAUGUUAGCGGCGGACGGGUGAGUAACACGUGGGUAACCUGCCUGUAAGACUGGGAUAACUCCGGGAAACCGGGGCUAAUACCGGAUGGUUGUUUGAACCGCAUGGUUCAGACAUAAAAGGUGGCUUCGGCUACCACUUACAGAUGGACCCGCGGCGCAUUAGCUAGUUGGUGAGGUAACGGCUCACCAAGGCGACGAUGCGUAGCCGACCUGAGAGGGUGAUCGGCCACACUGGGACUGAGACACGGCCCAGACUCCUACGGGAGGCAGCAGUAGGGAAUCUUCCGCAAUGGACGAAAGUCUGACGGAGCAACGCCGCGUGAGUGAUGAAGGUUUUCGGAUCGUAAAGCUCUGUUGUUAGGGAAGAACAAGUGCCGUUCAAAUAGGGCGGCACCUUGACGGUACCUAACCAGAAAGCCACGGCUAACUACGUGCCAGCAGCCGCGGUAAUACGUAGGUGGCAAGCGUUGUCCGGAAUUAUUGGGCGUAAAGGGCUCGCAGGCGGUUUCUUAAGUCUGAUGUGAAAGCCCCCGGCUCAACCGGGGAGGGUCAUUGGAAACUGGGGAACUUGAGUGCAGAAGAGGAGAGUGGAAUUCCACGUGUAGCGGUGAAAUGCGUAGAGAUGUGGAGGAACACCAGUGGCGAAGGCGACUCUCUGGUCUGUAACUGACGCUGAGGAGCGAAAGCGUGGGGAGCGAACAGGAUUAGAUACCCUGGUAGUCCACGCCGUAAACGAUGAGUGCUAAGUGUUAGGGGGUUUCCGCCCCUUAGUGCUGCAGCUAACGCAUUAAGCACUCCGCCUGGGGAG